RNAcentral lists this ribosomal RNA (301 nucleotides) under uncultured bacterium. RNAcentral describes it as "partial 16S ribosomal RNA". It matches the Rfam family "Bacterial small subunit ribosomal RNA", at positions 509 to 807 of the family's 1533-position model. The record is from RNAcentral.
CAGUAGCCGCGGGAAUACGGAGGGUGCGAGCGUUAAUCGGAAUAACUGGGCGUAAAGGGCACGCAGGCGGUUAUUUAAGUGAGGUGUGAAAGCCCCGGGCUUAACCUGGGAAUUGCAUUUCAGACUGGGUAACUAGAGUACUUUAGGGAGGGGUAGAAUUCCACGUGUAGCGGUGAAAUGCGUGGAGAUGUGGAGGAAUACCGAAGGCGAAGGCAGCCCCUUGGGAAUGUACUGACGCUCAUGUGCGAAAGCGUGGGGAGCAAACAGGAUUAGAUACCCCCGUAGUCCCUGUCUCUUAUAC